Molecule: long non-coding RNA, 956 nt
Organism: Drosophila novamexicana
Lineage: Eukaryota; Metazoa; Arthropoda; Insecta; Diptera; Drosophilidae
Exons: 7
Source: RefSeq, a predicted model, not a curated record
UACACGUCUGUAGCAAAACAGACUUACACAGCACUAUGCAAAACGAGCCACAAAUCGAUAACGUCAAACAAUCGGAACUUCUAACUCAUGAACAAAAUAAACAGCUGUAACAACUAUGAAAAUGUAAACAACAAAGAUCGGGCCCCGGUUCCGGACCCAGCGUACCCGCCCAACCAUGAGACGAGCACCUACACUCGUCUCCCUCAUUUUGUAAAUUAGAUGGCCAUCAGCCUGUGCCGGCUGUUAUGCCAAUUCUCCCCAACGAAGGAAAUUUAACCGAACAUUUCUCUCAUCAGAUACGCUAUUUCGAAUCUCUUACAAGAGGAUAUUUGGUUAGCUUCACAGCACUAAGUGGAACAGGCGACGAAAUUCUACCAGGAUACUGCUAGUCGCCGCAAAAACAAAACACGCACGAAGGAAAUUUGGAUGCAAACGUUGCGCCAAUUUAGGACCAAUGUGCCCACACAACUACGCAAAACUGGGUAUGCCACGAAUAUCGGUCGUGCAACAGAGCUCUCUGGGGGAGGUAAGGGGCGAUGUAAAUGGAUAAUUCCAAUUAGGCGCAGAUGCAUCACCUUUGGAAAUUCCGUCAACGUUCGCACUCUUAAGUGAAACUCGGCGUAAGUGCCUAUGGAGUACGGUCAGGAGACUCCAUCAUAUCUCUGCCAAGUGCUCGAACGAGGAUGGGCAAAAAUGAAACGGACUCACUCGGAGGAUGUGGGCGUGGUCUCGCCUGUGACCGCUUCUUCGGUGUUGGCGUCCGGUCCGUGAUGGCUCGUCCGUCCGUCCCGUGGAUUACGCCGACAUUUGGCUGGCGGCGUCGGGGAUAUGGCUGGUGUGUGCCGCUGAGGUGCGGGAGCUGGUCCCUUUGUUGCCGGAACCGUUAAUUUUUUUUUUUUUUUGCUUGUCUCGUCGCACUUAGGUUUUAAGUUCUUUCUUUUGCAAUACCUUAGCAC